Molecule: non-coding RNA, 71 nt
Organism: Triplophysa rosa
Lineage: Eukaryota; Metazoa; Chordata; Actinopteri; Cypriniformes; Nemacheilidae
Source: the annotation of a RefSeq genome assembly
AAGGAGGUGACAGAGUGGUUAUGUAAUUGGCUUGAAACCAGUUGAUGGGGGUUCAAUUCCUCCCUUCCUCG